Molecule: ribosomal RNA, 393 nt
Filed under: uncultured bacterium
Lineage: Bacteria
Description: partial 16S ribosomal RNA
Rfam family: Bacterial small subunit ribosomal RNA
Source: RNAcentral
AUACGGAGGAUCCGAGCGUUAUCCGGAUUUAUUGGGUUUAAAGGGAGCGUAGGUGGAUUGUUAAGUCAGUUGUGAAAGUUUGCGGCUCAACCGUAAAAUUGCAGUUGAAACUGGCAGUCUUGAGUACAGUAGAGGUGGGCGGAAUUCGUGGUGUAGCGGUGAAAUGCUUAGAUAUCACGAAGAACUCCGAUUGCGAAGGCAGCUCACUAGACUGUCACUGACACUGAUGCUCGAAAGUGUGGGUAUCAAACAGGAUUAGAUACCCUGGUAGUCCACACAGUAAACGAUGGAUACUCGCUGUUUGCGAUAUACAGUAAGCGGCCAAGCGAAAGCAUUAAGUAUUCCACCUGGGGAGUACGCCGGCAACGGUGAAACUCAAAGGAAUUGACGGGG